CUUGCAGUAAAAAAUGUACAGCCUCAAACUGCUACGCUCUGUACCUUAUAAACCUACGAAACAUGGCCAUCAUCUCUAUUCCACUAAUCAACAUAAACCUUUAUUACUUGAAUCAUUAAUUAGCACUCCACCUUCUAGCGAUAAACGUACCAGGCUUGAGGCACUUUUUUGGGCAGACCCUAUACCAUCAAGUAACUGCAUAAACUCAAUUCAACAUCUAAGUGAUAAAACUUCUGUCCUGUCUACUAGUGAUAUCAUUAUGGCCUACCCCAAUCCAUUUUCCAAAUCUCUUUAUGAUAACAAAAAAAAAACGAAUUAAAUUCUAUACUGAUGAAUAUUUAAUUAAGCUCAAAAUGGUUCUCAUUGCUCCGUUCAGACGAUAAUAGCUAUGGCAUAUUAUAAUUAUUACCCAUUGAUUACCUUUUCUCAAAGCAAAUGCUUAAAGGGCUUUCAAAAAAUAAACUCAGUAUUUCUGAA
Molecule: long non-coding RNA, 477 nt
Organism: Schistocerca gregaria
Lineage: Eukaryota; Metazoa; Arthropoda; Insecta; Orthoptera; Acrididae
Exons: 2
Source: RefSeq, a predicted model, not a curated record